Molecule: ribosomal RNA, 1325 nt
Filed under: Stomoxys calcitrans (stable fly)
Lineage: Eukaryota; Metazoa; Arthropoda; Insecta; Diptera; Muscidae
Description: 16S ribosomal RNA
Rfam family: Archaeal large subunit ribosomal RNA (bases 1075-1234)
Source: RNAcentral
UAAAUUUUAUUUAUUAAUUCUUUUUUUUUAAAAAUUAUUAUAUUAAAAAUAAUUAUAAAAUGUAAAUUUUUAGUAUUUUAUAAAGAAAAAAUAAUUUAAAUGAUAGUUUAUUAGUAUUGUAAAAGAAAAUUGAAAUAAUUUGAAAAAUUAUUAUUGUAAAAGAAAAUUUAAUUUAUUGUACCUUGUGUAUCAGGGUUUAUUAAAUAAAAAUUAAAUAGUUAAUUUUCUCGAUUUUAAAAGAGUUAAUAUUUUAUAAAAGUUAAUGUGGUAAAAUUAUUUUAAAUAAAAUAUUAGAAAUGAAAUGUUAUUCGUUUUUAAAGGUAUCUAGUUCUUUAAGAAAUAAAUUUAAUUUAGAAAUUUUAUAUUAUUUAAUUAAAUAAAUUAAUUAAAUAAAUAUUUAAUUUUAAUAUAAUAUGGGAUAAGCUGUAUUAUAAAUUUUUAAAAAUAUUUAAAUAAAAUAAUAAAUAUAGAUUUAGAAAUAGUUAUUAUUAAUAAAAGUGUUAUAAUUUAUUUUAUAAAAUAAAUUAUUUAUUUAAAUUUUAAAUUUUUAUUAAAGUAUUAAUUUUAAUUUUAAAAAUUAAAAAAUAAUGGUAAAAUUAGUAUAUAUUAUUGUAAUAAUAAAUAAAUAUGAAAAUUUUAUAUAAAGAACUCGGCAAAAUUGUAAUGUUCGCCUGUUUAACAAAAACAUGUCUUUUUGAAUUAAAUUUAAAGUCUAGCCUGCCCACUGAAUUAUUUAAAUGGCCGCAGUAUCCUAACUGUGCAAAGGUAGCAUAAUCAUUAGUCUUUUAAUUGAAGGCUGGUAUGAAUGGUUGGACGAGAUAUUAACUGUUUCAUAUAGAUUUAUAAUAGAAUUUUAUUUUUUAAUCAAAAAGUUAAAAUAUAUUUAAAAGACGAGAAGACCCUAUAAAUCUUUAUAUUUAGAUUAUUAUAUUUUUUUAGAUAAAUUUUAAUAUAAUAAUUAAUAAUAUUUUAUUGGGGUGAUAUUAAAAUUUAAUAAACUUUUAAUUUUAUUAAAUCAUUAAUUUAUGAAUAAUUGAUCCGUUAAUAACGAUUAAAAAUUUAAGUUACUUUAGGGAUAACAGCGUAAUUUUUUUGGAGAGUUCAUAUCGAUAAAAAAGAUUGCGACCUCGAUGUUGGAUUAAGAAAUAUGUUUAGGUGUAGCCGCUUAAAUAAUAAGUCUGUUCGACUUUUAAAUUCUUACAUGAUCUGAGUUCAAACCGGCGUAAGCCAGGUUGGUUUCUAUCUUUAAAAAAUUAAAAUAUUUCAGUACGAAAGGACCUAAUAUUUGAUAAAUAAUUAUUUAAUAAAUUGAAUAUUAUUAAUAU